GUAGGUGGCAAGCGUUGUCCGGAAUUAUUGGGCGUAAAGCGCGCGCAGGCGGUCCUUUAAGUCUGAUGUGAAAGCCCACGGCUCAACCGUGGAGGGUCAUUGGAAACUGGGGGACUUGAGUACAGGAGAGGAAAGCGGAAUUCCAAGUGUAGCGGUGAAAUGCGUAGAGAUUUGGAGGAACACCAGUGGCGAAGGCGGCUUUCUGGUCUGUAACUGACGCUGAGGCGCGAAAGCGUGGGGAGCAAACAGGGAUUAGAUACCCUGGUAGUCCACGCCGUAAACGAUGAGUGCUAAGUGUUAGGGGGUUUCCCGCCCCUUAGUGCUGCAGCUAACGCAUUAAGCACUCCGCCUGGGGAUACGGCCGCAAGGCUG
Molecule: ribosomal RNA, 372 nt
Filed under: uncultured organism
Description: partial 16S ribosomal RNA
Rfam family: Bacterial small subunit ribosomal RNA
Source: RNAcentral